UAAGGAAUAUUGGUCAAUGGACGCAAGUCUGAACCAGCCAUGCCGCGUGGAGGAUGACGGUCCUCUGGAUUGUAAACUUCUUUUAUUUGAGAAGAAAACCUCUGAUUAUUCGGAGCUUGACGGUACCAGAUGAAUAAGCACCGGCUAACUCCGUGCCAGCAGCCGCGGUAAUACGGAGGGUGCAAGCGUUAUCCGGAUUCACUGGGUUUAAAGGGUGCGUAGGCGGAUAGGUAAGUCCGUGGUGAAAUCUCUCGACUUAAUCGGGAAACUGCCAUGGAUACUAUUUAUCUUGAAUGUUGUGGAGGUUAACGGAAAAUGUCAUGUAGCGGUGAAAUGCUUAGAUAUGACAUGGAACACCAAUUGCGAAGGCAGUUAAAUACACAAAUAUUGACGCUGAUGCACAAAAGCGUGGGGAUCAAAC
Molecule: ribosomal RNA, 421 nt
Filed under: uncultured bacterium
Lineage: Bacteria
Description: bacterial SSU rRNA
Rfam family: Bacterial small subunit ribosomal RNA
Source: RNAcentral